RNAcentral lists this transfer RNA (73 nucleotides) under Capra hircus (goat). It matches the Rfam family "tRNA". Rfam says of the family: Transfer RNA (tRNA) molecules are approximately 80 nucleotides in length. RNAcentral also lists the same sequence under 1 other name. The record is from Rfam by way of RNAcentral. Lineage: Eukaryota; Metazoa; Chordata; Mammalia; Artiodactyla; Bovidae.
UCCCUGGUGGUCCAGCGGCUAAGACUCUGUGCUCCCAAUGCAGGAGGUCAGGGUUCAAUCCCAUGUCAGGGAA